GACGGGAAGCUAGCGACUAGGGUUUGGGUUCGGUGUGAUGCAAUAUAUUUAUAUCCGUCUCGCAUUGAUUUAAGUCGUUCAUUGUGUUUGAUAUCAACCGUUCGAUCGCGUUUAAAGAAAAAAUGAAUCUACACUGUUCAUCGCGUUUAAUCGUGACCGUUCGAUCACGCCUGAUGAGGGAACAGAUCCGGACCGUCCACGCACGUGGGAACGCUUCCGGACCGUCCGAUCACGGGGCGCGCGGAUCGCCAGUGUGGCCUCCUGCGUGGCACCGAGUCAGCGUGCCUUAUUCUGCGACGCGCUCCGGUUCGUUGGGGCUGCUGACUGGUCGGUCUUAC
RNAcentral lists this long non-coding RNA (338 nucleotides) under Carica papaya (papaya). Its description in RNAcentral is "long non-coding RNA (CPAP_LNC003097)". Lineage: Eukaryota; Viridiplantae; Streptophyta; Magnoliopsida; Brassicales; Caricaceae. The record is from RNAcentral.